Molecule: ribosomal RNA, 468 nt
Filed under: uncultured bacterium
Lineage: Bacteria
Description: partial 16S ribosomal RNA
Rfam family: Bacterial small subunit ribosomal RNA
Source: RNAcentral
GACGAACGCUGGCGGCGUGCUUAACACAUGCCAGUCGAACGGAAAGGCCCUGCUUUUGUGGGGUGCUCGAGUGGCGAACGGGUGAGUAACACGUGAGUAACCUGCCCUUGACUUUGGGAUAACUUCAGGAAACUGGGGCUAAUACCGGAUAGGAGCUCCUGCUGCAUGGUGGGGGUUGGAAAGUUUCGGCGGUUGGGGAUGGACUCGCGGCUUAUCAGCUUGUUGGUGGGGUAGUGGCUUACCAAGGCUUUGACGGGUAGCCGGCCUGAGAGGGUUGCCGGCCACAUUGGGACUGAGAUACGGCCCAGACUCCUACGGGAGGCAGCAGUGGGGAAUAUUGCACAAUGGGCGGAAGCCUGAUGCAGCAACGCCGCGUGCGGGAUGACGGCCUUCGGGUUGUAAACCGCUUUCGCCUGUGACGAAGCGUGAGUGACGGUAAUGGGUAAAGAAGCACCGGCUAACUACGUG